UGGGGAAUAUUGGGCAAUGGGGGAAACCCUGACCCAGCAACGCCGCGUGAAGGAAGAAGGCUUUCGGGUUGUAAACUUCUUUUACCAGGGACGAAGGACGUGACGGUACCUGGAGAAAAAGCCACGGCUAACUACGUGCCAGCAGCCGCGGUAAUACGUAGGUGGCAAGCGUUGUCCGGAUUUACUGGGUGUAAAGGGCGUGUAGGCGGAGAAGCAAGUCAGAAGUGAAAUCCAUGGGCUUAACCCAUGAACUGCUUUUGAAACUGUUUCCCUUGAGUAUCGGAGAGGCAGGCGGAAUUCCUAGUGUAGCGGUGAAAUGCGUAGAUAUUAGGAGGAACACCAGUGGCGAAGGCGGCCUGCUGGACGACAACUGACGCUGAGGCGCGAAAGCGUGGGGAGCAAACAGGAUUAGAUACCCUGGUAGUCCACGCUGUAAACGAUGAAUACUAGGUGUUGGAGGAUUGACCCCUUCAGUGCCGCAGUUAACACAAUAAGUAAUCCACCUGGGGAGUACGACCGCAAGGUUGAAACUCAAAGGAAUUGACGGGGGCCCGCACAAGCAGUGGAGUAUGUGGUUUAAUUCGAAGCAACGCGAAGAACCUUACCAGGUCUUGACAUCCGAUGCAUAGUGCAGAGAUGCAUGAAGUCCUUCGGGACAUCGAGACAGGUGGUGCAUGGUUGUCGUCAGCUCGUGUCGUGAGAUGUUGGGUUAAGUCCCGCAACGAGCGCAACCCUUAUUGCCAGUUACUACGUAAGAGGACUCUGGCGAGACUGCCGUUGACAAAACGGAGGAAGGUGGGGAUGACGUCAAAUCAUCAUGCCCUUUAUGACCUGGGCUACACACGUACUACAAUGGCGUAAACAGAGGGAAGCAGCCUCGUGAGAGUGAGCAAAUCCCAAAAAUAACGUCUCAGUUCGGAUUGUAGUCUGCAACUCGACUACAUGAAGCUGGAAUCGCUAGUAAUCGCAGAUCAGAAUGCUGCGGUGAAUACGUUCCC
Molecule: ribosomal RNA, 998 nt
Filed under: uncultured bacterium
Lineage: Bacteria
Description: bacterial SSU rRNA
Rfam family: Bacterial small subunit ribosomal RNA
Source: RNAcentral